This 2657-nucleotide unclassified non-coding RNA is filed under the name Leishmania donovani. RNAcentral describes it as "gene:LdHU3.28.2550(CDS-product:replication_factor _A_51kDa_subunit_putative)". Lineage: Eukaryota; Euglenozoa; Kinetoplastea; Trypanosomatida; Trypanosomatidae. The record is from RNAcentral.
CAGCCGCAGCAGCACCGCUACACGACCACCAUCAGCACCGACUUGAGGCAUACAGACCCCACAGCGAUUCACAGUGGCACUCGUCCAGCACCGACGCCUACUCGCUCACCCAUAAACCCAUACCGACCCCACAAGUACCGACGCAACGCACAUCAGCACAGACACGCACACGCAUCGAAAGCUCCUUACGAGGGUACACGACGAGAAGAACAUAAACUUUACCACACUCAUAUACAGACGUCAAACACUUCUAUUCACGGAGGCUUACACACACACACACACACACACACCUCGAGAGCGGCAACGCUACGCAACUCAUCGUCAUCAUCGCCUGCGCAGCAAAACUGACGCCUCCCUCCCUCCCUCGCUUCUCCAAUUCCACUCUAUCUCCCACCCGCCUUCUCUUGCUGUUCUUCACUACCGCUGCAAAGAGCCGACAGAAAGCCGCUCGUCCGCACACACAAACAACGAAGAACUUACACGGGUGCCUUCGCUCUGUUCGCGUGAACACGCUUUCGCCUCGCCUCCUUCCCUCUCUUUUCCCAUCCCUUUCACAACCAUACAGCUGUCACGAUGCAGCAGCCGGGCAGCCACCAGAUCCAGCCCAUCGACUCCCUCACACCGUUUCUCGGUGGCAAGUGGUGGAUUCGGGCCCGUGUGACAGACAAGACGGACAUCCGUACCUGGAACAAGCCGACGUCGCAGGGAAAGCUCUUCUCCUUCACCCUCAUUGACGAGUCUGCCGCGAUUCGGGCAACGGUCUUCAACGACGCCGUCGACACCUUCGAGCCGCUCAUCGUCAAUGGACAGGUAUACUAUUUCAGCGGUGGCCAGGUGAAGAAUGCGAACCGGCGUUUCAGCAACGUGAACAAUGACUACGAGCUCACGUUUGACCGCAGCUCGGAGAUUAUGCUGGCGCGGCAGGACACAUCAACAGCGGCGCUGCCGAUGCAGCGCUACAACUUUGUGCCGAUCGAGCUUCUGAAGCAGCGCGAGGUCGGUUCGCUCGUCGACGUGCUUGGCGUCGUGCUCAAGGUGGACGAAGUGUCGUCCAUCACGCAGAAGUCGACGGGCCGUGAGCUGGUGAAGCGAAACGUCAAGAUGGGCGACAUGACGGCGGCUGUGGAGGUCACCUUCUGGAACGAUGAGGCAAAGGCGUGGUGCUACCCAGUCGGCACCGUUGUGGCGCUGCGGCAGCUGAAGGUUGGCAGUUUCGACGGUGUGACCCUCUCAUCCACUUAUCAGACCAAGAUCGACAUCAACCCCACAGACCUGCCGGACGUCAAGAAGCUCGCGACGUGGUAUGUGACGACUGGCGGCGCUAACGUGACGUCUUUGUCGUCGCAGGGGCUUGGCGCCGCGAGCGGGGCCGGUGGCGAGAGCGACCGCGGCCGCAAGUACCUGGACGAGAUCCAGUCGGAGGGGAUCGGACGGGGCCUGAAGCCCGAGUACGUCGACGUCCGGUGCGUUCCGAUUUACUUCAAGCAGGAUGCCCAGUGGUACGACGCGUGCCCGACCUGCAACAAGAAGGUGACCGAGGAGGGCGCGCAGGGUGACCGCUUUCGCUGCGAAAAGUGCGACAAGACCGUCACGCCGACGCAGCGCUACCUCGUUUCCAUCCAGGUCACGGACAACGUCUCUCAGGCGUGGCUAACGCUCUUCAACGAAGCCGGCAUCGAGUUCUUUGGGAUGGAGGCGGCAGAACUGAAGCGUCGUGCGCAGGAGGACCCUCUCUACAUCGCGAAGCUGGCGCAGGGCCGCAUGAACCGACCAGUGGUGAUGCGUCUGCGCGUGAAGGAGGAGACGAGCUCGAACGCCAUGACCGGCGAGGAGUCAGACCGGCUGCGCAUGUCAGUGGUGCGCAUCUCCGAGUUUAUGCCGAUUGCGGGCACCUCCGAGGAGACGCGCCGCCGCCUCGCGCAGAACCUGCGCACAGAGUGCGAUGAAAUUCUCCGCCUCAUCGAGGCUUACGUCUGAGCACUGCCAAGAGACUAAGCAGGUCUCGCACGCACGCACAAAAUGCAUACAGAACUACAUGCGUCUAUGCGCUGCACUUGCAUCGAGUGCUGACAUGCACUACUCGCAGAGACGGCCACCUCAUAGAACGAGAAUGCCUCUGGUCGUGUCGGCCCGUGCCCGUCAUCGUGUGUGUGUGUGUGUGUACAUGCGCGCACCCACACCCACGCACGACGCGCAACACACAGACACGCCGACAGGAAGCCACUCCCGGAAUGGUGUGGUCUCCAUCCGCAGCUUUGCUGGGACGCCGUUGUUGCUCCCUCGCUUGGCACGGGAGCUGAUGUGCGAUGCCUCUCUCCUUUCGUUGCCGUUGUUGUGUUGUCGUGCUGAUGGGCGUAAGCACGCACGCGCACACCCAUGCGAACACCGGCACGGGGCUCAUGUCGACCCUCCUCUCCCUUUCUCUUCCCUCUUCCCAGCGUACUUUUUGUGUGCGUGCGCGUGUGUGUGCGUGCCCACGCGUGCAGCCUUGGUUGGCGCGUGAAAGGGACAGACGCAACGUUUAGUUGUUUGCCUUUAUUCCGUGUGCUUACUUCUGGCGCCCAUGCGCCUUCCGCCGUUGAUGCCGGCUGUCCAUGUUGGCUCAGUGGGGCGGUGGUGAGUGGUGAUGUUGCUGGUUCGAUGGAAAGCAAAGCAAG